RNA transcript from Cucumis melo (muskmelon), 730 nucleotides. RefSeq lists it as uncharacterized. The transcript is spliced from 4 exons. The record is from RefSeq and is a predicted model, not a curated record. NCBI's taxonomy places the organism in Eukaryota, Viridiplantae, Streptophyta, Magnoliopsida, Cucurbitales, Cucurbitaceae.
AUUUAAUUUCGUGUUAUAUCAUAUGUGGAAUAUUGCUUCAUCUUCUUCUCUCAACUCUAUGCUUCUCUCUCCAUCCUCAUCUUCACAUUACAACAGUAUCCAACCACAUCAUAAAAAGGAUUGGUGGCGGCUGCUAUUUUGUUUUAAAACUAACCAUUUUGAGAUCGUCGGUCGCUCCGCGUCGUCUCGGGCACGUGGCGACACAUGUUUUGCAAAUCUCUACAGAAAUCAGUAAGUUCAAAUACAUUUCUCAAAACAUGGUUUAAGAUAUCACUAGUAAAACAUUCUUAUAAAUUAUUUUAAAAGUUUAUUUUGUCACUCACAAAUUGGUUGCUCAGAAAUCCUCACAAAGUGCUUCGAACAUCAUGGAGAAAGAGAGUAUCUCGAUGAGAUCUUUUGAACAUCGGGGAAUAGUCUUUACCCAUCAAGUAUCUGAGCUAAAAGUCCAAAGACAGAGGUGAAAGAGAAAAGGAAACAGAUACAACUUUCAAAGGAUUGUUAAUUGGAGAACAUUUCUAGUUGACAGUUUGCCAAAUGAUAUUUAGUUUUCUCUCCUUGGAAGCCCCAUGCCUACCUGAAAGAGUAGGCCAUAUUGAGUCAAAUGUUCUUCCAAUAACUUUGAGGAAGAAGUUUUAUUUCUUAAAUUUAUUCUGAAUCAGAAAACAAGAAAUGGGUACUGAAGAGACCAAGGGAAUUGUCUUUUAUUUUUGUUUUUAUUUUUUUUGGGAGG